AGUAAUAAAUUUGAGGUUUUGACAUUUUUUCCAUAGGAAAUCUCUCAAAACGUUAAUAAUAUUCGCCAAGUUAGAA
Long non-coding RNA from Maniola jurtina (meadow brown), 76 nucleotides. RefSeq lists it as uncharacterized. The record is from RefSeq and is a predicted model, not a curated record. Lineage: Eukaryota; Metazoa; Arthropoda; Insecta; Lepidoptera; Nymphalidae. The transcript has 3 exons.